GGUCAAGUUAUUAAGGGUGCAGGGCGGAUGCCUUGGCACUAGGAGCCGAUGAAGGACGUGAUAAGCUGCGAUAAGCUUCGGGGAGUUGCACGUAAACUUUGAUCCGAAGAUUUCCGAAUGAGGAAACUCACUUAGAGUAAUGUCUAAGUAUCAUUAAGUGAAUACAUAGCUUAAUGAGGGGAACUCAGGGAACUGAAACAUCUAAGUACCUGAAGGAAGAGAAAGAAAUUCGAUUCCGUAAGUAGCGGCGAGCGAACGCGGAUUAGCCCAAACCAAUAAAGUUUUCUUUAUUGGGGUUGCGGACAUAUCAUAACGAAGAGGUAUCGUAAUUGAAGAGGUUUGGAAAGACCCACCACAGAAGGUAAUAGUCCUGUAUGUUAAACGAGAAGACUUUAGAUAUGAUCCAGAGUACCACGGGACACGUGAAACCCUGUGGGAAGCAGGAGGGACCACCCUCCAAGGCUAAAUACUACCUAGUGACCGAUAGCGUAUAGUACCGUGAGGGAAAGGUGAAAAGAACCCCGGGAGGGGAGUGAAAUAGAACCUGAAACCCUGCACUUACAAGCUGUGGAAGCACAUUUCUUGUGUGACCGCGUACUUUUUGUAGAACGGGCCAACGAGUUACGUUAAGUAGCAAGGUUAAGCACUUAAGGUGCGGAGCCGUAGCGAAAGCGAGUUUUAACUGAGCGUUCAGUUACUUGACGUAGACCCGAAACCGGGCGACCUACCCAUGAGCAGGAUGAAGCGAAAGUAAAAUUUCGUGGAGGUCCGAACCCACGAGCGUUGAAAAGCUCGGGGAUGACUUGUGGGUAGCGGUGAAAUUCCAAUCGAGCCCGGAGAUAGCUGGUUCUCCCCGAAAUAGCUUUAG
This 868-nucleotide ribosomal RNA is filed under the name Clostridioides difficile. RNAcentral describes it as "partial 23S ribosomal RNA". It matches the Rfam family "Bacterial large subunit ribosomal RNA", at positions 1 to 873 of the family's 2925-position model. The record is from RNAcentral. Lineage: Bacteria; Bacillati; Bacillota; Clostridia; Peptostreptococcales; Peptostreptococcaceae.